Molecule: long non-coding RNA, 3725 nt
Organism: Passer domesticus (house sparrow)
Lineage: Eukaryota; Metazoa; Chordata; Aves; Passeriformes; Passeridae
Exons: 5
Source: RefSeq, a predicted model, not a curated record
GGAAGGAAGGAAGGAAGGAAGGAAGGAAGGAAGGAAGGAAGGAAGGAAGGAAGGACCAGUUUACAGAGCUGACAAGCUAUUCACUCAUCCAGACAUCAGGAAGUAGCUGUGGAACAUUAUUCUAAUCAUGUGGGUAUUGCUUAAUCCUCUGAUUGAACCUGAAUAAAUCUCUCUAGAUGCCCUGCCAAUCUGUUUGGGAUUUGCAAUCUGGAAAGGCCCUCAAAUGCAAAUUAAAGUAAUUUUCUAUCUGAAAAAAAACCAUCUACCUCUCUCAGUAACAUCUAUUACUAUGUUCCAAGGUUGCAUAAUUGUGUUCAAAUUUAAAAGGCAAUGAAGUAUUUUCCAUACUUGAAGGAAUGCGUAUCAUCUGCAAAGUGGAUACUGAGUAAGAGAAGCACUCUACUAUAGGUUUGUAACUCUAGGUAUAGGUUACUUCCUCAGAACUUCUGAAGAUUAAUAACACUUUCAAUGAGCUUUGCAUCAAUGCCUUGAAGCCUGUCAAGUUGAAAUUUCAAUCACUGAGAUAGAAAACUCUCCUAAAUAACAGGUACUUUACCUACAAAAAGUCAUGUUUGAAUCAGAAACUGUUACAUCAAGCUGAAGAUAUUUCAAGUGGGAUAUAAAUGUUAGAGAGUAAGAAGUAGUCUGACACAGACAAGAUGCAGCUUCUCUAGAUCAACUACUACAUCCUAAAUUUGAGAAAAUAAGCUAUUUGUAAGAAUGGUGUUUAGCAAUGCCAUCUAUAAUCUGGAAAGAAAAUGCAAAGCAGUUGAUGGUUUAAAACGAAGAAAUGCAAAAAGAAUUGACAGAGACAUAAUGUCUGAUGGUGUGAAGAAAACAACCUCUUUCUCAGAGUCAUCUCAUUUAAGUAGGAGAGUUUAAAUCAAUUAAAGAAAGGAUAUUAAGAGAGGCAUGAACUGUGAACGUGGGCGAGUUGGAGAAAGCAGUGAAGAAGGACUCAGAAUUCCUCAAAUAACUCAGCACUGUAGUGGUGAAGAUCUCAGUGCACUACUGUGUUGUCCAGUGGUGCAGAAAGAUUGAAAGAGUAGAAGCAUGAAGGUCACUUAUUAUUUUAUACGAUAUUAAUGAGACCAGUUCUGGGAUGUUGAAUCAAAUUCCAUGUCUGAGUUUUAAAAGGACAUUAAAGCAUUUGGAAAGGUACUGAACAAAGCCACUAAACCAUGACCUGAGAGUUAGGGAAAUUUGCUUCAAGUAAGAGACUUUAGGAGCUUAAUCUUCUUAGUUUAUCAAAAAGAAAAAUGGAAAAAAUAGCUUGCUUGAAGUUAUAAAUAUCUCAAGGCAGCAGAAAAUGCUGGACAUUUACCUAAAGAAUAAAGGCAGAAGAAAAACCAAUGAGAGUUGGACAAAUUCAAAUAGGAAUUUGGUCACACUAUUUAAUAACUUAUCAGAAGAUCAGAAUGUACCAACUAAGGCAAUACAGCUUUCUGGAAGAAAGAAUUUAAUAAAAUAUAAGGUAUUGUUCUUCAUAUAUGGCUAGCUUGGUGCACAGGAAUGAGUUCUGAUAUAUAGAAAAGCAGGCUAAAUUCAAAUUAAACAUUACAAAUCUCAUGCAGAAAUCUUCAGACUGUCAAAAGGCACUUGAUUUACUUGAGGAGCUUAAGGAAGGAAAGCAAUGGGCAUACUUCCAGGUGUGAAAUGAUGUCUUCUCAGGGUCCUUCUACACAGGGGUUGGGUUGCGGGCUUGCAGUUACUGUAAUGAGGUUUGAAAGUUACAGCUGUAAUGUUGGCUUAUCUUGCUCAAUUCCUUUCACAGCUGGAUAUUUGACUUACUAAGCAGUUGUAUGAGCAUCAGCUCCUUGCACAGUAGGAACUUGAGCUCCGGAAUGGAAAGCGUACUUGAGCUGCCCAUAAACUAGAAGAAGCUUAAAGAAUCAGAGGUUGACCACAACUAGGAAAAAGAGAGGCAAAUAUUCUGUCUAUGACACGCACCUGCAAAGAAUAAAGAAUUGUAAGCUUAACUAUAACAUUGCCAUGAAAAAAAAUGGAUGUGAAGUUGCCAGGAAUAAAUUUAGAUCAAAAUUAAAAUACUUUCAACCACUGAAACACUUCACUUAUGGAAUAGCUUAACACUUUGAGCAGAGAUAGAUAGCCCUGGGUGUUUCAAGGUGGAUCUAGGCCUCAGGUUGCUGUAACAUGUAUGACUGUGAUUGCAGGUGGGGGGAUUCAGCUAUUUUUUAAUCCUCUGCUGAGAAUAUGUUUACAUUAUUAUUGAUUCUUUUAUGUUUUUAAAAUAUUUGCUGCUACAGAAGUCUGAAACAAAAUAUUGUUAACACAGCUAUGCAGCCAGAGCAUCAAAAUCUGCAGAAUUUAAAUGGGGGGUCUCAUCUAUCAGCUGGCAAUUUAGCUGCCAAGAUAAAGCAUGGGUCAUCAAUCUGUGCUCCUGGAAUGUCUAUUUAAAGUAGGAAUGUUUGUGAGAGAACAUCUUUCUCUUCUCUUCCUCCAAAAUAAAAUUAUUGGAAAAAACUCUUCGAAGGGCAUGUACAAUCCCCACAAAUGUUUCCUUCUCUAAAACAUUUAAGGCUGAAAAAGUCAGAUUGCUUUCUCAUGUCUUUUUUUUUUCUGAAGAGCUACUGCGUUCUACCUGCAAGUUGCGUCUAUCUAUCCUAACCUUCUGCACAUUUUUACCAAAGCACAAACGAGGAAAAGAAACUUUACAUAUGAAUGUGCUUUAUACAAACUAUAUUUUAAAAAACAUAUUUUCAAAUGUAAUUUCAGGCCUACUACAUUUGAGACUUAUAAUUUUUGUACUGUAGAAAGUGCUGUUUUUUACUGAUUUCCCUCAUUUAAACAUUCAUCUUCAAUGUGGGUUAUUAAAAAAAAAUGUUUUCAGUGUGUGGUUUCAGCCUUGAAAAAUUUAUAUUUGUUUGAAAAUAUUGAAGAAAUACAGUAAUGGACUACCACCAGCAUUUCUAUAAAAAAAAUUGUAUCACUCCAGAAGGGCUUAAUAAGAACAGUAUAGACAAAAGAGAAGGAAGAAAUUACAUCUUACACCAUUUGCUGAGUCUUCGUGUUUUGUUGCUGGUACAGGGAGGUUACAGAGAUAAAGAAAGAAUAUGGUAUGCUGUAAUUAUACCUUCCACUGGAAGCUUCCUAGAGAGAUGUUUCCAUGUCCAGUUUAGGACAAUCCACUCAUUUAUCCAAAUUAGCCUGUGUGUAGUCUCCAGAUUCUCACAGACUUGCCUUUGAACAAAAUUGAUACAAAUUAUCUUUGAAUUAUAUGGUAAGUUCAUUUUCUGCCUUCCAUACAUAAACUACUGAUGCACUCUUUCUUGAAAAUUUUACAUCAACACCAGUCGUUGGGGAUCCUUUUCAUCUGAUCAUAAGCUACUAAUUUUGUCUAAAACAUGCUCCAUUUUAGUCAUUUACAGAGGUAGAAUGUUUGCAUUUCAUUUUACAAUGCUACAGUGCCACUACACACGUUGUGAUGGUCCAGUAGAUCUUUCAUUUCAUUAUUUAACUUAUUCUCUGAGACAGCAAGUGUGGCCAAACCCCUGGAGCAAUUGGAUGUUGUGUUUGUGGUCCAUUCUCUCCAGCUGAUGUUUGAAUGUUUUUAAUGCACUUCAUAUGAAAAUGUUUCCCAGAGAAAUUCAAAGAAAGUAAUUACACCCUUAGAAGGAAAGCAAAAACUGCAGCCAAUGUGUAUUUAAUUGCAUCUCACAUACAUUACUACACAAAAGCAUUUCAGUAAAUUAGUCUAGUGCUAC